ACGAUUCAUAGCUCCACUGCAGAUACCUCAUUAUAGUCGUACCUUGUUUUUCAGUUGUUUUUUAGUUUAAGAUUUUUUCUUUGCAAGACAGUGCACAUCUUGCACAUCCCCGCACAUCCCAUCAACAGGACUUCUUAAAAAGAAAAUGGCGGAAGCACAAAAUUUUGAAAUGUAACAAUUAGUAGUCGACGAACAGCAAACAAUAGCACGAUCAUGGACACGCACCAUCUUUAAGGGAACUUGGGGUGGCAAUCUGGUUCCUGUGAGAUUUAUUUCGAUCACCGACUGCCGUCAAAAUGUCUUGACUCAUUAUGAAAAGUAUGAAUCCCCUGACAUUUGUUCAUGAAAAUGUUUUUAGGGUUUAUGGGCAUGUCAUUUGUCCCCAGCAAAUUCACAGGUACUUUUUAAUUGAGCAUUUUGAUCGAACGCUGAGACAGCAUUAUUGCGAGCAGGCUUCAACUGCUUCAUUCACGGUGCAAUCAAUCCGGACAACUCUUGGAUCUGUGUACCUAACGAAGCACAGAUCAUUCUAAAGAUCUCCGAAUUUGGGCUGCACAGGAAUCAAACUGCUGCCGAAAAUCGAAUUCGCUGUUUGAGCUCCAAUCAAAGUGAGAAGGAAAUAGUACCUGUAAAUUGCUGUGGAUAAAUGACAUGCACGUAAACCCUUAAAAAAUUUUUAUCAACAAAUGUAGAAGAUUCAUACUUUUCAUAAUGAUUCAAGACAGUAGAUUCAGUCAGUAAUCGAAAUCAUUCUCACAAGAACCGGAUUCCCACCCCAAGUUCCCUUACAGAUGGCCCCUGUCCAUGAUCGUGCUAUUAUUUGCUGUUCGUAAACUACUAAUUGUAACUUUUCAAAAUAUUGUGCUUCCGCCAUUUUCUACACAUGAAGAAGGAAAAAAGUUGAAUUUUAAUUUUAAAAAGAUUUCGUGAAAAAUCAACAAAAAACGUGUGGCCGUGAGAUGAAAUUUAUUAUAAUAAAUGUUCAAAAAAUUGUCAGGACAAUUUAUUCACCAUA
Long non-coding RNA from Daphnia pulicaria, 1015 nucleotides. RefSeq lists it as uncharacterized. The transcript has 4 exons. The record is from RefSeq and is a predicted model, not a curated record. Lineage: Eukaryota; Metazoa; Arthropoda; Branchiopoda; Diplostraca; Daphniidae.